RNAcentral lists this transfer RNA (73 nucleotides) under Diaphorina citri (Asian citrus psyllid). It matches the Rfam family "tRNA". From Rfam's summary of the family: Transfer RNA (tRNA) molecules are approximately 80 nucleotides in length. Lineage: Eukaryota; Metazoa; Arthropoda; Insecta; Hemiptera; Psyllidae. The record is from Rfam by way of RNAcentral.
GCCUAGUUAGCUUGGUUGGUAGCGCGUCUGCCUUGUAAGCGCUAGGCCGCGGGUUCGAUUCCCGCCCGGGGCA